Molecule: RNase P RNA, 436 nt
Filed under: marine eukaryotic metagenome
Description: Bacterial RNase P class A
Rfam family: Bacterial RNase P class A
About the family: Ribonuclease P (RNase P) is a ubiquitous endoribonuclease, found in archaea, bacteria and eukarya as well as chloroplasts and mitochondria.
Source: RNAcentral
GGGGUCAGACAGCCGCUCCGCUGCCGUUGGCAACGGGGAGGAAAGUCCGGGCUCCACAGGGCAGGGUGCCAGGUAACACCUGGGGGCGCGGCUGGCGACGGCCGCGUCACGGAAAGUGCCGCAGAAAAUAUACCGCCCAGCACCUAAUUUCUCGGUGCCGAGCGGCUCAUUCCGGAAUCCCGGGAACGCGGGUUUUUCGAUUGAGGCGUCUUCGCAUCGAAAAAUUAGGUGCUGGGUAAGGGUGAAAAGGUGCGGUAAGAGCGCACCGCGCUUGCGGUAACGCAAGUGGCAGGGCAAACCCCACCCGGAGCAAGACCAAAUAGGGAUCCAUGGGCGUGGCCCGCGCCGGAUCCGGGUAGGUCGCUUGAGGCCUGUGGCGACACAGGUCCCAGAUGAAUGGCUGUCCACGACAGAACCCGGCUUAUCGACCGCUUCA